This 199-nucleotide unclassified non-coding RNA is filed under the name uncultured Tomentella. RNAcentral describes it as "sequence contains ITS1". Lineage: Eukaryota; Fungi; Basidiomycota; Agaricomycetes; Thelephorales; Thelephoraceae. The record is from RNAcentral.
CCGAAUUGUCAACAUGAGUUGUUGCUGGCCCUCAAAUGGGGGCACGUGCACGCUCUGUUCACACAUCCACUCACACCUGUGCACCCUCUGUAGUUCUAUGGCCUGGGGGACAAUGUCCUCCUGCUGUUGUCCUACGUCUUUACACACACACUGUAAUAAAGUCUUAUGGAAUGCAUGUCGCGUUUAACGCAAUACAAUA